AGAUUAAGCGUGUUGUGAAAUGUAGACGCUCAACGUCUGCACUGCAGCGCGAACUGGUUUCCUUGAGUACGCACAAAGUGGGCGGAAUUCGUGGUGUAGCGGUGAAAUGCUUAGAUAUCACGAAGAACUCCUAUUGCGAAGGCAGCUCACUGGAGCGCAACUGACGCUGAAGCUCGAAAGUGCGGGUAUCGAACAGGAUUAGAUACCCUGGUAGUCCGCACGGUAAACGAUGGAUGCCCGCUGUUGGUCUGAAUAGGUCAGCGGCCAAGCGAAAGCAUUAAGCAUCCCACCUGGGGAGUACGCCGGCAACGGUGCAACUCAAAUGAAUUGACGG
Molecule: ribosomal RNA, 334 nt
Filed under: uncultured Bacteroidota bacterium
Lineage: Bacteria; Pseudomonadati; Bacteroidota
Description: bacterial SSU rRNA
Rfam family: Bacterial small subunit ribosomal RNA
Source: RNAcentral